RNAcentral lists this ribosomal RNA (1685 nucleotides) under Thraustochytriidae sp. KB8. RNAcentral describes it as "SSU rRNA". It matches the Rfam family "Eukaryotic small subunit ribosomal RNA". Lineage: Eukaryota; Bigyra; Thraustochytrida; Thraustochytriidae. The record is from RNAcentral.
AGCCAUGCAUGUCUAAGUAUAAGCGAAUAUACUGUGAAACUGCGGACGGCUCAUUAUAUCAGUUAUAGUUUCUUUGAUAAUGUUUAUUAUUUGGAUAAUUGUAGUAAUUCUAGAGCUAAUACAUGCAUAAAGAUCCGACUUUCGGGAAGGAUUGCACUUAUUAGAAUGAAACCAUCUUUUGUUUGGUGAAUCAUAAUAAUUUAGCGGACCGCAGUGAGUUUGUUCUCGGCGGCGAAUCAUUCGAGUUUCUGCCCCAUCAGCUGUCGAUGAUUAGGUAUUGGCUAAUCAUGGCGAUCACGGGUAACGGAGAAUUAGGGUUUGAUCCCGGAGAGGAGGCCUGAGAGACGGCCGCCACAUCCAAGGAAGGCAGCAGGCGCGUAAAUUACCUAAUCCGGACGCCGGGAGGUAGUGACGAGAAAUAGCAUCGCGGAACACACUGUGUUUUGCUUUUGAAAUGAGUGCAAUGUAAAACUCUCAACGAUGAUCAAUUGGAGGGCAAGUCUGGUGCCAGCAGCCGCGGUAAUUCCAGCUCCAAUAGCGUAUAUUAAGUUGUUGCAGUUAAAAGCUCGUAGUUGAAUUUCUGGUUUGGUGAGGCCUGCGGCGAUUGAAUGAUCGCAUUGUUAGUGUCCGCCUAGCCAUCUUGAGAUUCGUAAGAAUCUCUCGUUUACUGUAAAAAAAUUAGAGUGUUUCAAGCAAGACGUAAAUUUGGAAUAUAUUAGUAUGGAAUAAUAAGAUAGGACUUUUGUGUUAUUUUGUUGGUUUGCCACAAGAGUAAUGAUUAAAAGGGACAGUUGGGGGUAUUCGUAUUUAGUUGUCAGAGGUGAAAUUCUUGGAUUUACGAAAGACGAACUACUGCGAAAGCAUUUACCAAGGAUGUUUUCAUUAAUCAAGAACGAAAGUUAGGGGAUCCAAGAUGAUUAGAUACCAUCGUAGUCUUAACCGUAAACUAUGCCGACUUGGAAUCGCCCAGUGUCUAUUUUUUGUGUGACUUGGGCGGCGCCACAUGCGAAAGCAAAGUCUUUGGGUUCCGGGGGGAGUAUGGUCGCAAGGCUGAAACUUAAAGGAAUUGACGGAAGGGCACCACCAGGAGUGGAGCCUGCGGCUUAAUUUGACUCAACACGGGGAAACUUACCAGGUCCGGACAUAAGAAGGAUUGACAGAUUGAGAGCUCUUUCUUGAUUUUAUGGGUGGUGGUGCAUGGCCGUUCUUAGUUGGUGGAGUGAUUUGUCUGGUUUAUUCCGUUAACGAACGAGACCUCGGCCUACUAAAUAGUACUGCUUAUGGAAACAUAGGUAGAGACUUCUUAGAGGGACAUUUCGGGUUUACCGGAAGGAAGUUCGAGGCAAUAACAGGUCUGUGAUGCCCUUAGAUGUUCUGGGCCGCACGCGCGCUACACUGACGAAUUCAACAAGUUUUUUUCGCAAGAAAAUUUCCUUGGUCGAAAGACCUGGGUAAUCUCUUAAUGUUUGUCGUGAUGGGGCUAGAUCUUUGCAAUUUUUGAUCUCCAACGAGGAAUUCCUAGUAAACGCAAGUCAUCAGCUUGCAUUGAUUACGUCCCUGCCCUUUGUACACACCGCCCGUCGCACCUACCGAUUGAGCGAUCCGGUGAAAUCUUUGGAGUGGUCUUUUCAGCAUUUAUUUGUAGAAUUGACUGCAAAAUUGAGUAAACCUUAUCGUUAGAGGAA